CUACGGGGACGCUGCAGUGAGGAAUAUUGCACAAUGGGGGGAACCCUGAUGCAGCAACGCCGCGUGGAGGAUGGCGCAUUUCGGUGUGUAAACUCCUUUUAUAUGUCAAGAAAAUGACGGUAGCAUAUGAAUAAGCACCGGCUAACUCCGUGCCAGCAGCCGCGGUAAUACGGAGGGUGCAAGCGUUACUCGGAAUCACUGGGCGUAAAGGACGCGUAGGCGGGUUGGAAAGUCAGGUGUGAAAUCCUACAGCUUAACUGUAGAACUGCACUUGAAACUUCUAAUCUAGAGUAUGGGAGGGGGAGAUGGAAUUAGUGGUGUAGGGGUAAAAUCCGUAGAUAUCACUAGGAAUACCUAAAGCGAAGGCGAUCUCCUGGAACAUUACUGACGCUAAGGCGUGAAAGCGUGGGGAGCAAACAGGAUUAGAUACCCUUGUAGUC
This 440-nucleotide ribosomal RNA is filed under the name uncultured bacterium. RNAcentral's name for it is "partial 16S ribosomal RNA". It matches the Rfam family "Bacterial small subunit ribosomal RNA", at positions 339 to 795 of the family's 1533-position model. The record is from RNAcentral.